Molecule: unclassified non-coding RNA, 213 nt
Filed under: soil metagenome
Description: partial internal transcribed spacer 1
Source: RNAcentral
ACCUUUCAAAUCAGGGUGCGGCGCGGCCCCCGAGGAGCGGAAACAAUCCUUGGGAGGUAUGCGGGGGCUUCGAGCCUCCCAUUUACGCACGCACGACUGCCAUCCUUACUUUACGAGCACCUUCUGUUCUCCCUCGGCGGGGCAACCUGCCGUUGGAACCGAAUAAACUCUUUUUGCAUCUAGCAUUACCUGUUCCGAAACAAACAAUCGUUA